RNAcentral lists this long non-coding RNA (650 nucleotides) under Cricetulus griseus (Chinese hamster). RNAcentral's name for it is "lncRNA (ENSCGRG00000024657.1)". The record is from RNAcentral. Lineage: Eukaryota; Metazoa; Chordata; Mammalia; Rodentia; Cricetidae.
AUGGUAACAGGACUGGAUUGCUCAGUUGGCUUAAAGGAUACAUAUUUUAAAGUUGGCCGCUUGCUCUUAUCCGAGUUUGAUUGUUUUGAUUUUGCAUUUCUUCAUACUGUUCGUGUGAUGCUUUGGAUUGCCAACACAUUUCAUGUUACUUCAUAUCCAACCCUCUUACCUGUUACGAAGCCAUCUUGUAAGAACAAGGCCUUGACCAGUCUUGAUGAGUUACUGAAUCAUUAUUAUCCAAGAACUGUCAGGAACAUCAAAGAUUUUAAAUUAAACAACUUCUGAAAAUCAUUCAAGCUCUGCAAAAUCUAAACAUAUUGUCAAGGCCCAAGAAAUGGCUCUGCUUCAUCUUGACUUAAGGUCAGAGAGGUCAAACCCACUAUUGCUCUUUCAAGGUUAAACAACAGAAUGUUUGCCCUGAGAUGUAGCUAAACUAAUGGAUGUCUCAUCUUGACAAUAGGAUAUUUGGCCUAAGAAGUAACUAAUGGAUGUCUUGCUUUAACAACAGGAUAUUUAGCCUAACUAGGGCUAUUGUCUAUCUUGCCUUGACAACAGGAUACUUGGUUUAGGGUGUGUUUAGUUGAUGUUUUGGGUAUUGAGAUGGUAAUUACACUUGCUUGUUCUUUGUAUGGUGGUAAAGAAGUCUUCUG